Molecule: long non-coding RNA, 686 nt
Filed under: Setaria viridis
Lineage: Eukaryota; Viridiplantae; Streptophyta; Magnoliopsida; Poales; Poaceae
Description: long non-coding RNA (SVIR_LNC007028)
Source: RNAcentral
UUUAUAGAAAUAUACGUUGGCUUAGAUAAAAGUGAAGUUAAGAAAAGGUCAUGUCAUUGACUCUUGCUCUAUCCUUGCUUUUAGCAAAGUCCCAGCACAUAUAGUAGUUGGGCCCACUCUCUUUGUUUCCCUCUCUACUGCACUCGAGCAAUGGGAAGCCCAACGGAGCCCAGAAGGGUUCAGCCGAAACAAUCUGAGCGCCGCCACCUCCAAGCCUUCAUGCAGACGCUCCUCCAACAUCCUUUAACUUAUCCCUCAAUGUCCUGCUGGAUUUGAGCAUCAUAGGAGAGGGGAUCCUUCUUUAAAAUCUCAUCCACCUCCUCUCCUCAUUCACUCCACUCUCAUCUCCAUCAAGAUCCACACCAGAAACCCCUACUCACCACCAUAGCUGGCAAAGGCCUCGUUUCCCUUCACCAACUUGGGCUCAACCUUCGAUCUCGAUGGGGAAAUCCCUCCAACGAAUGCCAUUGCCCCUAUUGGUGAUCUGGUGAUGGAGGUAGUAUAGGCACCAGACGUUGAGUCCCUGGCCGUCAUACCACCCGAGGGGCGAAGUGGCGGCACAAGGGGCACCGCUAGGAGUUCGGCAAAACUGGGGGUUCAGCCGAACCAGGCCAGCGCCGCCUCGGCCGCCCACUCGACCCCUCGCUCGCCUUCACCAAGGAAGACACCAAAAUUGUGUGAGUACG